GUGUAUUGAUGAUAAUGACAAUAUUGUAAACAAAAGAGGAAAAUGAGGAUGAUUGAAUAAAAAAACAUUUUCAAAAAUGUAAUAAUAUGAACUUAUGAGGUGAAUAUGACAAAUGAAUUUUUUUUUUUAAAUUAUGGAUUAGUUUUGCAUUUGACUUUUUAUUUUGAGUCAUUUUUGCGAAACCUCCUUUAAAAAUUGAUAGUUUGUAUAACGUGGUGUUUAUUUUUUUAUUUUAAAUCGUAUUUAAAAUUGCAAAAACAUAUUAUUUGACCUUUUAAUAAGCUAUCAAAAUAAUAUAAAGAAGUUUAAAAAUAUAUAUAAUAUAUAAUUUAAAUAAUAGAUGUAAACCUUUGGUAUUUUUUUAACUAUGGUUAGUGAUUUUUGUUACGAAAGAAAUUUUUUUUUUUUGAUAUAUGGAACCUAUAAUAAUUUAGCUGAAAGUCGUUUGAGAUAUCUUGUUUUAGGAUUGAUUGUAAAUUUUGUCGAUAUGUUUUUCUUUAGAAAAGAUUUAGUCGACAUAUAAUGUGUACAUUAAUAAGGUUAAACGUCAUAUACGUAUAACUAUAUAAUAAUCGAAUUAGAAUGAUAUGUUAUUUAACUCGGUUUGCAUUGAUUUUAUUUUUAUUUUUAAUAAUUUAAAGGUUAAACAGAGUAAUACAUCUUUU
Molecule: long non-coding RNA, 665 nt
Filed under: Brassica rapa (field mustard)
Lineage: Eukaryota; Viridiplantae; Streptophyta; Magnoliopsida; Brassicales; Brassicaceae
Description: long non-coding RNA (BRAP_LNC001948)
Source: RNAcentral